UACGUAGGGCGCAAGCGUUGUCCGGAAUUAUUGGGCGUAAAGAGCUCGUAGGCGGUCUGUCGCGUCGGAUGUGAAAAUCCAGGGCUCAACCCUGGACCUGCAUUCGAUACGGGCAGACUAGAGUUCGGUAGGGGAGACUGGAAUUCCUGGUGUAGCGGUGAAAUGCGCAGAUAUCAGGAGGAACACCGAUGGCGAAGGCAGGUCUCUGGGCCACUACUGACGCUGAGAAGCGAAAGCAUGGGGAGCGAACGGG
RNAcentral lists this ribosomal RNA (253 nucleotides) under uncultured bacterium. Its description in RNAcentral is "partial 16S ribosomal RNA". It matches the Rfam family "Bacterial small subunit ribosomal RNA", at positions 524 to 776 of the family's 1533-position model. The record is from RNAcentral.